GACGAACGCUGGCGGCAUGCCUAAUACAUGCAAGUCGAGCGAACAGAUGAAGUGCUUGCACUUCUGACGUUAGCGGCGAACGGGUGAGUAACACGUAAGGAAUCUACCUAUAAGCGGGGGAUAACAUUCGGAAACGGGUGCUAAUACCGCAUAAUAUCUUCUUCCGCAUGGAAGGAGAUUGAAAGACGGCUCUGCUGUCACCUAUAGAUGACCUUGCGGUGCAUUAGUUAGUUGGUGGGGUAAUGGCCUACCAAGACGAUGAUGCAUAGCCGACCUGAGAGGGUGAGCGGCCACAUUGGGACUGAGACACGGCCCAAACUCCUACGGGAGGCAGCAGUAGGGAAUCUUCCGCAAUGGGCGAAAGCCUGACGGAGCAAUGCCGCGUGAGUGAAGAAGGCCUUCGGGUCGUAAAACUCUGUUAUAAGAGAAGAACAAAUUGUAGAGUAACUGCUACAGUCUUGACGGUAUCUUAUCAGAAAGCCACGGCUAACUACGUGCCAGCCGCCGCGGUAG
Molecule: ribosomal RNA, 513 nt
Filed under: uncultured bacterium
Lineage: Bacteria
Description: partial 16S ribosomal RNA
Rfam family: Bacterial small subunit ribosomal RNA
Source: RNAcentral